Molecule: long non-coding RNA, 128 nt
Organism: Haliotis rubra (blacklip abalone)
Lineage: Eukaryota; Metazoa; Mollusca; Gastropoda; Lepetellida; Haliotidae
Exons: 3
Source: RefSeq, a predicted model, not a curated record
GAAUCCCCAAUGGGUACAAUUUAGAUUUCUGGUGUCCCCGCCGUGAUGUCGCUGAAAUAUUGCUAAAAGCGGCGUAAAACCAAUAUCAUCAGUCAGUCAGAUACAUGUAAUUGACUGUACAUCAGUAG